UGCUUUUUCAAUAUUCAGAUUUGUUUGUGAUUUUCUAAAUAAAAACGAAAAAUAAGAGUGGAGAGAUACGGGAUACCAAAGCAAGCUUCCAAAUCCGAGCAAAAUUUGUCCACUUUACUCCAUAAUUCCCGAAUAUUCCUCCUUGAAAUAAAAACAAAAAUAGUGAGAAACAAACUAAUCCGAAAGAUUAAAAAUAAAGGUGCGAAAAAUUAAUUUUAGUCCCCGGCAGCGGCGCCAAAAACUUGAUGUGCUAGAAAUAAUACCUUUAAAUCGCAAGCGCACGAUCACCGUUUUAAUAUUUAUGAUUCGAUCCACAGAGAUUAAAA
This 326-nucleotide long non-coding RNA is filed under the name Daucus carota (carrot). Its description in RNAcentral is "long non-coding RNA (DCAR_LNC007601)". Lineage: Eukaryota; Viridiplantae; Streptophyta; Magnoliopsida; Apiales; Apiaceae. The record is from RNAcentral.